Long non-coding RNA from Telopea speciosissima, 312 nucleotides. RefSeq lists it as uncharacterized. The transcript is spliced from 3 exons. The record is from RefSeq and is a predicted model, not a curated record. Lineage: Eukaryota; Viridiplantae; Streptophyta; Magnoliopsida; Proteales; Proteaceae.
ACUAAGCUAACAUUAGAUUCUCUCUUUUUCCCCUAUUUGAUUUCCUAAUCCAGUAUGAACCUAGUUCAAAAGAUCUCCACUACAACCCCUGAUUUCCAACCUAACCAUUCAAAGAAGGAAAUCAAGAGAAAAAGGAAGAAAGAAGAUACAAAUUUUCCUUUUCUUUGCAAAUUUCUCCAUGAAAGAAACCAGAUUGGUGCGUAAAAAUUACAAAGCCAAGCCGGACCAUAAAUUGUAGGUUUCAGUUUGAAUCCGGCCAGCCACCUCAAUUGGCAAAAUACCCAAAAAGAUUAACAAGUAAAAACCUUAAUG